RNAcentral lists this small RNA (76 nucleotides) under Clostridiales bacterium. RNAcentral's name for it is "Gut-1". It matches the Rfam family "Gut-1 RNA". RNAcentral also lists the same sequence under 1 other name. Lineage: Bacteria; Bacillati; Bacillota; Clostridia; Eubacteriales. The record is from RNAcentral.
CAAUGAAAUUUGUCCUUCGGGCAAGUGAAAUACCGCUGCGCGGUGUGAAAUUUUGCUGCACAACAUGAAAUACGCU